UACGUAGGGUGCGAGCGUUAAUCGGAAUUACUGGGCGUAAAGCGUGCGCAGGCGGUUAUGUAAGACAGAUUUGAAAUCCCCGGGCUCAACCUGGGAACUGCAUUUGUGACUGCAUAGCUAGAGUACGGUAGAGGGGGAUGGAAUUCCGCGUGUAGCAGUGAAAUGCGUAGAUAUGCGGAGGAACACCGAUGGCGAAGGCAAUCCCCUGGACCUGUACUGACGCUCAUGCACGAAAGCGUGGGGAGCAAACAGG
RNAcentral lists this ribosomal RNA (253 nucleotides) under uncultured bacterium. RNAcentral describes it as "partial 16S ribosomal RNA". It matches the Rfam family "Bacterial small subunit ribosomal RNA", at positions 524 to 776 of the family's 1533-position model. The record is from RNAcentral.